UACGUAGGGGGCAAGCGUUAUCCGGAUUUACUGGGUGUAAAGGGUGCGCAGGUGGCAGGGCAAGUCAGAUGUGAAAGCCCGGGGCUCAACCCCGGUAUUGCAUUUGAAACUGUCCGGCUAGAGUGCAGGAGAGGUAAGCGGAAUUCCUAGUGUAGCGGUGAAAUGCGUAGAUAUUAGGAGGAACACCAGUGGCGAAGGCGGCUUACUGGACUGUAACUGACACUGAGGCACGAAAGCGUGGGGAGCAAACAGG
This 253-nucleotide ribosomal RNA is filed under the name uncultured bacterium. RNAcentral's name for it is "partial 16S ribosomal RNA". It matches the Rfam family "Bacterial small subunit ribosomal RNA", at positions 524 to 776 of the family's 1533-position model. The record is from RNAcentral.